AACGAACGCUGGCGGCAUGCCUAACACAUGCCAGUCGAACGAGAUCUUCGGGUCUAGUGGCGCACGGGUGCGUAACGCGUGGGAACCUGCCCUUAGGUUCGGAAUAACUCCCCGAAAGGGGUGCUAAUACCGGAUAAUGUCUUCGGACCAAAGAUUUAUCGCCUUUGGAUGGGCCCGCGUUGGAUUAGCUAGUUGGUAGGGUAAAAGCCUACCAAGGCGACGAUCCAUAGCUGGUCUGAGAGGAUGAUCAGCCACACUGGGACUGAGACACGGCCCAGACUCCUACGGGAGGCAGCAGUGGGGAAUAUUGGACAAUGGGCGAAAGCCUGAUCCAGCAAUGCCGCGUGAGUGAUGAAGGCCUUAGGGUUGUAAAGCUCUUUUACCCGGGAUGAUAAUGACAGUACCGGGAGAAUAAGCUCCGGCUAACUCCGUG
This 433-nucleotide ribosomal RNA is filed under the name uncultured bacterium. Its description in RNAcentral is "partial 16S ribosomal RNA". It matches the Rfam family "Bacterial small subunit ribosomal RNA", at positions 29 to 507 of the family's 1533-position model. The record is from RNAcentral.